RNAcentral lists this ribosomal RNA (502 nucleotides) under uncultured Rhizobium sp. RNAcentral's name for it is "bacterial SSU rRNA". It matches the Rfam family "Bacterial small subunit ribosomal RNA", at positions 142 to 678 of the family's 1533-position model. Lineage: Bacteria; Pseudomonadati; Pseudomonadota; Alphaproteobacteria; Hyphomicrobiales; Rhizobiaceae. The record is from RNAcentral.
AACAACAGUUGGAAACGACUGCUAAUACCGUAUACGCCCUACGGGGGAAAGAUUUAUCGGGGUAUGAUGAGCCCGCGUUGGAUUAGCUAGUUGGCGGGGUAAAGGCCUACCAAGGCGACGAUCCAUAGCUGGUCUGAGAGGAUGAUCAGCCACAUUGGGACUGAGACACGGCCCAAACUCCUACGGGAGGCAGCAGUGGGGAAUAUUGGACAAUGGGCGCAAGCCUGAUCCAGCCAUGCCGCGUGAGUGAUGGAGGUCUUAGGAUUGUAAAGCUCUUUCACCGACGAAGAUAAUGACGGUAGUCGGAGAAGAAGCCCCGGCUAACUUCGUGCCAGCAGCCGCGGUAAUACGAAGGGGGCUAGCGUUGUUCGGAAUUACUGGGCGUAAAGCGCAUGUAGGCGGAUAUUUAAGUCAGGGGUGAAAUCCCGCAGCUCAACUGCGGAACUGCCUUUGAUACUGGGUAUCUUGAGUAUGGAAGAGGUGAGUGGAAUUCCGAAUGUAG